AUGGAUAACCGUGGUAAUUCUAGAGCUAAUACAUGCUGGUUAGCCUGACUUUUGCGGAAGGGCUGUAUUUAUUAGAUAACAAACCAAUAUUCCCCGUGUCUAUUGUGAUGACUCAUAAUAACUGAUCGAAUCGCAUGGGCUUUGCCCGCGAUACAUCAUUCAAGUUUCUGCCCCAUCAGCUUUCGAUGGUAGUGUAUUGGACUACCAUGGCGUUCACGGGUAACGGAGGAUUAGGGUUCGAUUCCGGAGAGGGAGCCUGAGAAACGGCUACCACAUCUAAGGAAGGCAGCAGGCGCGUAAAUUACCCAAUCCUGACUCAGGGAGGUAGUGACAAGAAAUAACGGACCGAAGCCUACGUUUCGGGAUUGCAAUGAGUAGAAUUUAAACCCCUUUACGAGGAUCAAUUGGAGGGCAAGUCUGGUGCCAGCAGCCGCGGUAAUUCCAGCUCCAGUAGCGUAUAUUAAAGUUGUUGCAGUUAAAAAGCUCGUAGUUGGAUUUCUGGGAGGGUGCCAAUGUCCGCUGAUUGCGUGUGCAGCGGCGCCCUUCCAUCCUUCUGUUAACGUUUCUGAUAUUCAUUUAUUGGUCUCGGGCUCAGAUAUUUUACCUUGAGAAAAUUAGAGUGUUCCAGGCAGGCUAGCGCCGGAAUACAUUAGCAUGGAAUAAUAGAAUAGGACUUUAGUCUCCUUUGUUGGUUUGAGGGACUGAAGUAAUGAUUAAUAGGGAUAGUUGGGGGCAUUAGUAUUUAAUUGUCAGAGGUGAAAUUCUCGGAUUUGUUAAAGACUAACUUAUGCGAAAGCAUUUGCUAAGGAUGUUU
This 814-nucleotide ribosomal RNA is filed under the name uncultured eukaryote. RNAcentral describes it as "SSU rRNA". It matches the Rfam family "Eukaryotic small subunit ribosomal RNA", at positions 139 to 969 of the family's 1831-position model. The record is from RNAcentral.